GCGCCCGCCGGGGCGCCUUCGCCGGGCGGGCAGCGCCUCUCCGGCCGCCGCUCCGCCUCCUCCGGCGGCGAGUGCCUCCCCCUCAGCCGGGCGGAGGAGGAGGAGGAGGAGGGGCCCUUCGCCCGAAUUUCGGCCCAUCGGAAGAGGCGGCGGGGGGGGCGGGCAGGUGGGGCGAGCCGCGCUCGCCGGUCCCGGGCGCUGCCGGCCGGAGCAGCGGGUCGGGGGCCUCGCCGUAGGCACAGCCGCCUGCGUCGGCCGCUGAAACACGCGGAGGUGUUUUUAGGCAUUACCCACUGCARUGGCACCACCAUAAAGUGGAUGGAUGGAUCAUGGCGGGUGUAACGGAUGCCCACCUGGCUAAAUGUCUACAUGCUGAAGGUCAGAAUUGUUCACACACUUUACUGAUGUUGGAAGUCUGUGGCUUUCACUGGGAAUGACGAUUUUCUAUUUGCACUAGAAUUUUUUUCAGAAAACACACCACCUAUAUGAAUUGAUUUAAAAACUACAAGCAUAAGGAGGCCUUCAGAUUUACAUAUUUCCAUGCCAGUGCAUUUGCCAGACAUUAAAGCAGCCUGAAGUGAUUG
This 584-nucleotide long non-coding RNA is filed under the name Dromaius novaehollandiae (emu). RNAcentral describes it as "lncRNA (ENSDNVG00000012709.1)". Lineage: Eukaryota; Metazoa; Chordata; Aves; Casuariiformes; Dromaiidae. The record is from RNAcentral.